Molecule: ribosomal RNA, 419 nt
Filed under: Pristimantis inguinalis group sp. ABGD cluster 146
Lineage: Eukaryota; Metazoa; Chordata; Amphibia; Anura; Strabomantidae
Description: partial large subunit ribosomal RNA
Rfam family: Bacterial large subunit ribosomal RNA
Source: RNAcentral
CUUGCAACCAUAAGAGGUCCAGCCUGCCCAGUGAUCUAAUUCAACGGCCGCGGUAUCCUAACCGUGCAAAGGUAGCGUAAUCACUUGUUUUCUAAAUAAAGACUAGUAUGAAAGGCAUCACGAGGACUUAGCUGUCUCCUUUCUCCAAUCAGUGAACCUAAUCUUCCCGUGAAAAAGCGGGAAUCCACCUAUAAGACGAGAAGACCCUGUGGAGCUUUAAACAUAAUAACACCUGCCACCAUCUCUAACAACCCCGGUACCUCCUUCAAGCGGCACCCUGAUUAUAUGUUUUUGGUUGGGGCGACCGCGGAGAAAAACUCAUCCUCCGCAAUGAACGGGACUUCUUCCUUAAACAAUAAGUCACAACUUUACGUAUUAAAAAAUUAACAUUCCUUGACCCAAUAAAUUGAUUAAUGAAC